GACGAACCGAGCGAACGUUGUUCGGAAUCACUGGGCUUAAAGGGUGCGUAGGCGGGCUAUCAAGUCUGGGGUGAAAUGCCACGGCUCAACCGUGGAACUGCCUCAGAUACUGACGGCCUCGAGGAAGGUAGGGGCAUGCGGAACUGUAGGUGGAGCGGUGAAAUGCGUUGAUAUCUACAGGAACUCCGGUGGCGAAAGCGGCGUGCUGGACCUUUUCUGACGCUGAGGCACGAAAGCUAGGGGAGCAAACGGG
RNAcentral lists this ribosomal RNA (253 nucleotides) under uncultured bacterium. RNAcentral's name for it is "partial 16S ribosomal RNA". It matches the Rfam family "Bacterial small subunit ribosomal RNA", at positions 524 to 776 of the family's 1533-position model. The record is from RNAcentral.